UCGAGGAUCUUCGGCAAUGGGCGCAAGCCUGACCGAGCGACGCCGCGUGUGCGAUGAAGGCCUUCGGGUUGUAAAGCACUGUCGAGGGGGACGAAAGCCGCAAGGCUUGACCGAUCCCUGGAGGAAGCACGGGCUAAGUUCGUGCCAGCAGCCGCGGUAAGACGAACCGUGCGAACGUUGUUCGGAAUCACUGGGCUUAAAGGGCGCGUAGGCGGAGGGUAAAGUCGGUGGUGAAAGCCUUCAGCUUAACUGGAGAAGCGCCUCCGAUACUGACUCUCUGGAGGGAGGUAGGGGCAUGUGGAACUCAGGGUGGAGCGGUGAAAUGCGUAGAUAUCCUGAGGAACGCCGGUGGCGAAAGCGACGUGCUGGACCUCUUCUGACGCUGAGGCGCGAAAGCCAGGGGAGCAAACGG
Molecule: ribosomal RNA, 412 nt
Filed under: uncultured bacterium
Lineage: Bacteria
Description: bacterial SSU rRNA
Rfam family: Bacterial small subunit ribosomal RNA
Source: RNAcentral